GUCUUUUUGGUAUUUAAUAUAAAGUCUGACCUGCCCACUGAAUAUAGUUUGAAGGGCCGCAGUAUUUUGACUGUGCAAAGGUAGCAUAAUCAUUAGUCUUUUAAUUGAAGGCUGGUAUGAAUGGUUGGAUGAGAUACAAGCUGUGUCAUAAAAAUUAAUAUUUGAAUUUAACUUUUUAGUCAAAAGGCUAAAAUUUUUUUAAAAGACGAGAAGACCCCGUAGAGCUUUAUAUAGUAACUAUUUAAGUUAUUCAGAUUUAUUAAAUUUAAUUAUUGAGCUAUAUUUUGUUGGGGUGACAAUAAAAUUUAUAAAACUUUUAUUUUUAUUUAACAUUAAUUUAUGAUUAAAUGAUCCAGUUUUAUUGAUUAUAAAUUUAAGUUACCUUGGGGAUAACAGCGUAAUUUUUUUUGAGAGUUCUUAUCGACAAAAAAGAUUGCGACCUCGAUGUUGGAUUAAGAGUAAUUUUGGGUGUAGAAGUUCAAAGUUUAAGUCUGUUCGACUUUUAAAUUCUUACAU
This 516-nucleotide ribosomal RNA is filed under the name Simulium nanense. Its description in RNAcentral is "partial 16S ribosomal RNA". It matches the Rfam family "Bacterial large subunit ribosomal RNA", at positions 1819 to 2601 of the family's 2925-position model. The record is from RNAcentral. Lineage: Eukaryota; Metazoa; Arthropoda; Insecta; Diptera; Simuliidae.